This 1687-nucleotide ribosomal RNA is filed under the name Curtobacterium sp. PhB190. Its description in RNAcentral is "partial 23S ribosomal RNA". It matches the Rfam family "Bacterial large subunit ribosomal RNA", at positions 1399 to 2925 of the family's 2925-position model. Lineage: Bacteria; Bacillati; Actinomycetota; Actinomycetes; Micrococcales; Microbacteriaceae. The record is from RNAcentral.
AUCCCUUCGGGGUGAUGGUGGCCGGUCUAACGCUCGACCCCAUGCUGGUGCGGUUAGCGUAUGAACAGGUGUGACGCAGGAAGGUAGCUGAGCCAGGCGAUGGUAUCCGUAAGGUGAACCUGGUGUAAGGAUGUAGGGCUGACGAUAGGCAAAUCCGUCGUCUGUGUGCCUGAGAUCCGACGCGUACCCGUAAGGGGAAAUCAGUGAUCCUAUGCUGCCGAGAAAAGCAUCGACGCGAGGUUGCAGCCGCCCGUACCCGAAACCGACUCAGGUGGUCAGGUAGAGAAUACCAAGGAGAUCGAGAGAAUCGUGGUUAAGGAACUCGGCAAAAUGCCCCCGUAACUUCGGGAGAAGGGGGGCCGGACACGUGACCGGAUUUACUCCGUGAGCGUUGAAGGCCGCAGAGACCAGUGGGAAGCGACUGUUUACUAAAAACACAGGUCCGUGCGAAGUCGCAAGACGAUGUAUACGGACUGACGCCUGCCCGGUGCUGGAAGGUUAAGAGGAAGGGUUAGCCUUUGGGCGAAGCUCUGAAUUUAAGCCCCAGUAAACGGCGGUGGUAACUAUAACCAUCCUAAGGUAGCGAAAUUCCUUGUCGGGUAAGUUCCGACCUGCACGAAUGGCGUAACGACUUCCCAGCUGUCUCAACCGCGAACUCGGCGAAAUUGCACUACGAGUAAAGAUGCUCGUUACGCGCAGCAGGACGGAAAGACCCCGUGACCUUUACUACAGUUUGGUAUUGGUGUUCGGUGUGGCUUGUGUAGGAUAGGUGGGAGACUGUGAAGCGGGCACGCUAGUGUUCGUGGAGUCAUUGUUGAAAUACCACUCUGGUCACUCUGGAUGUCUAACGUAGGACCCUGAUCGGGUUCAUGGACAGUGCCUGAUGGGUAGUUUAACUGGGGCGGUUGCCUCCCAAAGAGUAACGGAGGCGCCCAAAGGUUCCCUCAACCUGGUUGGCAAUCAGGUGGCGAGUGUAAGUGCACAAGGGAGCUUGACUGUGAGACUGACAGGUCGAGCAGGGACGAAAGUCGGGACUAGUGAUCCGGCAGUGGCUUGUGGAAGCGCUGUCGCUCAACGGAUAAAAGGUACCUCGGGGAUAACAGGCUGAUCUUGCCCAAGAGUCCAUAUCGACGGCAUGGUUUGGCACCUCGAUGUCGGCUCGUCGCAUCCUGGGGCUGGAGUAGGUCCCAAGGGUUGGGCUGUUCGCCCAUUAAAGCGGUACGCGAGCUGGGUUUAGAACGUCGUGAGACAGUUCGGUCCCUAUCCGCUGCGCGCGUUGGAAAUUUGAGAAGAUCUAUCCCUAGUACGAGAGGACCGGGAUGGACGAACCUCUGGUGUGUCAGUUGUUCUGCCAAGGGCACCGCUGAUUAGCUACGUUCGGACCGGAUAACCGCUGAAAGCAUCUAAGCGGGAAGCCGUCUUCGAGAUGAGAUUUCCAUGCACCUUGAGUGUGAGAGGCUCCCAGCAGACUACUGGGUUGAUAGGCCGGAUGUGGAAGCGGGGACUAACGACCCGUGGAGCUGACCGGUACUAAUAAGCCGAAGACUUGAUAACACACUGAUUUCCGUGCACUUGUUGCACGGGCUCGCGUCCACUUUGUGGUUCCCGACAGACGAUCGGGAAUCAAACUGAAUACACCGCUCUGCCCAUUCGUGGGCAGCAGCCGGAACAUGUUUGAGACCAGAUU